This 73-nucleotide transfer RNA is filed under the name Stegodyphus mimosarum. It matches the Rfam family "tRNA". From Rfam's summary of the family: Transfer RNA (tRNA) molecules are approximately 80 nucleotides in length. Their secondary structure includes four short double-helical elements and three loops (D, anti-codon, and T loops). Further hydrogen bonds mediate the characteristic L-shaped molecular structure. tRNAs have two regions of fundamental functional importance: the anti-codon, which is responsible for specific mRNA codon recognition, and the 3' end, to which the tRNAs corresponding amino acid is attached (by aminoacyl-tRNA synthetases). tRNAs cope with the degeneracy of the genetic code in two manners: having more than one tRNA (with a specific anti-codon) for a particular amino acid; and 'wobble' base-pairing, i.e. permitting non-standard base-pairing at the 3rd anti-codon position. The record is from Rfam by way of RNAcentral. Lineage: Eukaryota; Metazoa; Arthropoda; Arachnida; Araneae; Eresidae.
GCCAUCGUGGUGUAAUGGCUAGCGCACUCGGCGCAUAUUCGAGAGAUCCUAGGUUCGAGUCCCGGUGAGGGCA